This 107-nucleotide small nucleolar RNA is filed under the name Sorghum bicolor (sorghum). RNAcentral describes it as "Plant small nucleolar RNA R71". It matches the Rfam family "Plant small nucleolar RNA R71". From Rfam's summary of the family: R71 is a member of the C/D box family of snoRNAs containing the C (UGAUGA) and D (CUGA) box motifs. Multiple nearly identical copies of this snoRNA have been identified in Arabidopsis, and it is thought to function as a 2'-O-ribose methylation guide for 18S ribosomal RNA. The record is from Rfam by way of RNAcentral. Lineage: Eukaryota; Viridiplantae; Streptophyta; Magnoliopsida; Poales; Poaceae.
AUUCCAUGGUGAGGACAAUCUAAUAUGUAUUCUUGAAAACGCUCCCAUGCUUCUGAAAUGGUUUCUGACAUCUGCUGUUGGAAACUGAUAAUAUUUUCUCUUAAAGC